RNAcentral lists this unclassified non-coding RNA (301 nucleotides) under Paraglomerales sp. Its description in RNAcentral is "partial contains 5.8S ribosomal RNA and internal transcribed spacer 2". The stretch from base 1 to 65 matches the Rfam family "5.8S ribosomal RNA", at positions 84 to 154 of the family's 154-position model. Lineage: Eukaryota; Fungi; Glomeromycota; Glomeromycetes; Paraglomerales. The record is from RNAcentral.
GUGAAUCAUCGAAUUUUUGAACGCAAAUUGCGCCUUUUUCGGAAGGCAUGUCUGUUUGAGGGCACCAUUUAACAAAUAAUGUGCAGCGUUGUGUGUAUAUAUGACGUGCACACGUUGAUGAGCUUUCCAAGAAUUUUAAAUUUUUGGUGGCGCAUAAUGAACAACGUGAAGCUUUUUUUUCAGUUCGAGUGUAGUAAAAUCUUUGCUUGGGUUGUGAAAAGCAAGUAGCGCACUGGGUGUGGCAGUUUUCCCUGAUGCCACUCUUUCUCGCGAAAGAAUGUUAUAAUCUUCAGGGCCUCAA